This is a long non-coding RNA of Coregonus clupeaformis (lake whitefish), 724 nucleotides long. RefSeq lists it as uncharacterized. The record is from RefSeq and is a predicted model, not a curated record. The transcript is spliced from 3 exons. Lineage: Eukaryota; Metazoa; Chordata; Actinopteri; Salmoniformes; Salmonidae.
UUAACAUUCACCUUAACCACACUGCUAACUUUAUGCCUAACCCUAAAUUAAGACCAAAAAGCACAUUUUUGUGUUCAUAAAUGUUUGUGAUGUAUCCGACUUUGAGGCUGUGUUAUCUAAUGGAAACCAGCUACUCGACCGACGCUAGUAGCUAGCUACAAAGAAACUCUGUGGAAAGAUGUUGGAGUUUCACUGAUGUCCUCAGUCUGCCCUUAAGAGGAAGCUGGGGCCUAAGAGGAUAUAGAGCAGGGAGAGGAUCCGUCUGUGUGUGGCAGACUAUACGUGGUGGUUAGCAGCAUACUCCAGAGUUUGACUUGUGAAGAGGAGGGAGGCAGCAGCUGAAGUAGGAUUAGCCCAGUGUGGAGUGGCCAGCCAGCCAGCCAGCCAGCCAGCCAGCCAGCCAGCCCUGCCUGAGGUGGGAGAGGGCAGAGCAGCAGUGGGUCUGUCAGCUCCAGCGUGGUCGUAUUGGGGUAAGUCUGUUACUGCCCACCUCCCAUGUCUUCACCUGUCUCUGUCAGCUCCAGCGUGGUCGUAUUGGGGUAAGUCUGUUACUGCUCACCUCCCAUGUCUUCACCUGUCUCUGGAAUUCAGCCUGUGGACUGUUUGUUUUAACUCAACGACUCUUGUUCUCGUGUUAGUCUGAAACAGAAAAAUGAGGAGUAUGUCUGUUGACCCUCCCACCCCUCUGUUACACCAGACAGACACCAAACAGAGAGCAAAGCUA